AGCGAACGCUGGCGGCAGGCUUAACACAUGCAAGUCGAACGGGCACUUCGGUGCUAGUGGCAGACGGGUGAGUAACACGUGGGAACGUACCUUUCGGUUCGGAAUAAUACAGGGAAACUUGUACUAAUACCGGAUACGCCCUUUGGGGGAAAGAUUUAUCGCCGAUUGAUCGGCCCGCGUCUGAUUAGCUAGUUGGUGAGGUAAUGGCUCACCAAGGCGACGAUCAGUAGCUGGUCUGAGAGGAUGAUCAGCCACACUGGGACUGAGACACGGCCCAGACUCCUACGGGAGGCAGCAGUGGGGAAUAUUGGACAAUGGGCGCAAGCCUGAUCCAGCCAUGCCGCGUGAGUGAUGAAGGCCUUAGGGUUGUAAAGCUCUUUUGUCCGGGAAGAUAAUGACUGUACCGGAAGAAUAAGCCCCGGCUAACUUCGUG
This 433-nucleotide ribosomal RNA is filed under the name uncultured bacterium. RNAcentral's name for it is "partial 16S ribosomal RNA". It matches the Rfam family "Bacterial small subunit ribosomal RNA", at positions 29 to 507 of the family's 1533-position model. The record is from RNAcentral.